Molecule: non-coding RNA, 101 nt
Organism: Strongylocentrotus purpuratus (purple sea urchin)
Lineage: Eukaryota; Metazoa; Echinodermata; Echinoidea; Camarodonta; Strongylocentrotidae
Source: RefSeq, marked provisional
GUAGAGGGCAGCAAGCUGGUCGUGAGGAGUUGCAAUUUGUCCACAUGAUAAUAAUCAUCAUAUUGCACUCGUCCCGGCCUGCCUGCUUGCCCUCAAUCUCA